GAGGGCGCAGCCCGGCAGCCCCGCGGGGAGAUCCGGCGGGGGGGCGAGCAAUCAUAGUAAUAGUCGUCUAUCUCUAAGAGAACGAGAAAAGCACAGCCGAGAUGCUCCGUCCGUGACCCGCAGGCGGGGAAAGGGGUGGGGGGGCCAGGUUGUGAGUCCGCCAAACACCUGAGAAAUAAAGCACGACCGAACAAUUUUCGAGGCGGGCGGGGGAAGUGGGGGGCGAAAAGUUUGCCGGAGCUCGGGCGUCUCUGGGGGGGGCGGGCGCGAUGCCGCCCUGGCUGCUCGGCAGCCUCUGCUGCGUCCUGGCGGCGCGGGCGGCGCUGGGCGGCGGCUCCGCGGGCGCGGAGGAGGAGGAGGAGGAGAAGCUGAUCCGGGUGCUGGUGCUGCUGCCGCAGGACGACGCCUACCUCUUCUCGCUGGGGCGGGUGCGCCCGGCCAUCGAGUACGCGGUGCGGAGCCUGCGGGAGAGCGGCGCGGGUCUGCCGCCCGGCUACGCCUUCCAGCUCACCUACGAGGACUCGGCGUGCGGCAACCGCGCCCUGUUCAGCCUGGUGGACAUGGUGGCCCUGCAGCGCCGCCGCCCCGACCUGCUGCUGGGGCCCGUGUGCGAGUACGCGGCGGCGCCCGUGGCGCGGCUGGCGGCGCACUGGGACGUGCCGAUGCUGUCGGCGGGCGCGCUGGCCGCGGGCUUCGGCGCCAAGGCCGGCGAGUACUCGCACCUCACCCGCGUGGCCCCCGCCUACGCCAAGAUGGGCGAGAUGCUGCUGGCCCUCUUCCGCCACCACCAGUGGAACCGGGCCACGCUGCUCUACAGCGACAGCAACCCCGAGCGCAGCUGCUACUUCGCCAUGGAGGGCGUCCAUGUGGUCUUCCAGGAGGAAGCCUUCCACAUGGCCGUGCACAGCUUCGACGAGACCAGCCGCCACCUCGACCUCGACGACGUCGUCCGCGCUCUCCAGACCGGCGAGAGGGUUGUAAUCAUGUGUGCCAGCGGUGACACUAUCAGGAACAUCAUGUUGGCUGCUCAUCGGCAAGGAAUGACCAACGGGGACUACGCUUUCUUCAACAUUGAACUCUUCAACAGCUCAUCAUAUGGAAAUGGUUCUUGGAGAAGAGGAGACAAACAUGACCUUGAAGCCAAGAAAGCAUACUCGUACCUCCAGACUGUCACUCUGCUAAGGACCGUGAAGCCUGAGUUUGAGAAGUUUUCAUUGGAGGUGAAAAGUUCUGUUCAGAAGCAAGGUCUUCAUGAGGAUGACUAUGUGAACAUGUUUGUGGAAGGAUUCCAUGAUGCUAUUCUUCUUUAUGCUCUAGCUUUACAGGAAGUCCUGAAGUUUGGUUUCACUAAGAAAGAUGGGGAAAAAAUUGUUCAGCAAACACGGAACAGAACAUACGAAGGCAUUGCAGGGCAGGUGUCCAUUGAUGCAAAUGGAGACAGAUACGGGGAUUUCUCUGUGAUUGGAAUGACAGACCCAGAGGCAGGCACACAGGAGGUGAUCGGGGACUACUAUGGAAAGCAGGGGCGUUUUGAGAUUCGGUCAAAUGUGAAAUACCCUUGGAAUCAUGGCAGGCUGCGGCUAGAUGAAAGCCGAGUUUCAGAGCACACAAACAAUACACCGUGUAAAUCAUCAGGUGGUCUAGGAGAAUCAGCAGUUACAGGAAUAGUUGUGGGUGCCUUGCUUGGAGCAGGAUUGCUAAUGGCUUUUUACUUUUUCAGAAAGAAAUACAGAAUAACUAUUGAGAGACGAACUCGACAGGAGGACUGUAACAUGGGGAAACAUCGGCAGUUACGUGAAGACUCCAUUAGAUCUCAUUUUUCUGCUGCAUAAAGAAGAGGAAAAAGAAUCCCAUUCUUCCUAGGGAAAAAAAAAUAAUUAGGGAAAAGGACACAACCAAAGACAUCAGUGUAGAAAGAGGCUCUUGAAGAACAUACUCUUUUAAGCAGUAAUUUUGUCUUAAUUUCUUUCAGAAGCUCAGGAAUGAUUUACUAAUCACAUUAUGCCGCAUGGCCUUUCAUCUCAUGAAAAAAGAAAAUUAUGCGGUUUGAUGUUAUAGGGUGUACUUAAUAUGUAAAGACAGUAUUUCUUAAAGCAUGUAUUGAGGGCAGCAGAUCUGGGUUUAGUUGAUGGGGAAUGCCUCAUUGUGUUCCUUUUUUUUUUUUUUUUUAGCUUCUACCACCUCCUUCCAUAAUUGCAUCUCAUCCAUGGGUGUCAGAUAUGGUUUCACAGGCACAGGUGCUGGUUGCUGUCAAAAGGAAAAAAAGAGAUUUAUUUGGGGUAUGAUCCUGCAUCACUGAAUCACUGCCAUUGGUUAUAGGGGAUAUAAGAUUUGGUGUACGGAGUUUAGUUCUGGGAAAGAACUGGCACUUGGGUCUAAUUAACUCCACUGAAAAAGGCAGGUGGAAACACACACAAUUCUUUCCUUGUUUGUGUGGUAUCACAAUCAAAAGCACUGUUUCUCCCUCUUAAAUGCUGGGAGUUACGAAAGUCUUCAGUGAAGAAUGGGGAGUUUUGGUGGUGUGAAAUAGGGAGAGAAGACAAUCAGGCCUUGGAGAGGACUGUUUAAUUCCUCAGUCUUAACAUGUGUUUUAUCACGCUCUUUUCUCUCCUCUGCCGUGACUUUUCAGAGUGGCAAAUAUAGACCGUGUCGAGCCUGCUCCUGUUCUCAGUGAAGUCAGUGGCAAAAUCCCAUUAACUUCAAUGAGCACAGGACUGCAUCCAAAACUGUAAAUAUGAAAGUGUUUGUAUAGCUGAUGCAAUUAAAAAGGGGAUCUUUUUUUGUGUAAAAAUGACAUUCCAUGCUUCCAUUUUAUUUUUGGGAUAUUUUUUAUCUUGUAUUUUUCUAUUAAAGUAUCUAUUUUUGCUUUGGUAGGAUUAAAAAUAAAGGAAGAGGAUGUUUUGAAGACAUAUUUUUUAUGAUAGGAGUAGUAUGCAGGGAAAGUCAACAGCUGUAAAUACAUUUUAGAACUAGCAUUUAGGGGAGGAGAAGUGACUUUGUUGAUAGUAACAGACUUUCUUCUCCAGGCAUGUGCAACAUUCAAGUAGUUACUUAAACAAUAUAAAUGCAGUUAUUGAGUUGUCAAUGGGAUGAUGGUGCUGAUGGUGAAAAUUACGAAUUUUUCUUGUUAAAGGGUCCUACAGAAGUUGGUGAGAUUUAGCUGUCCCUGUGUGUACAAUUGAACAACCAAGGAACUACCUUCAGGAAUUGGGUGGUAAAACACUCUUCUAGUGGUGACUUUAAUCCUGCUGCCGUCAGUAUCCCUGGGACUUUUGCCAUUGAUUUUAGCAGGAGCAAAACUGAAUCUGUGAUGAAUUAGCUACUGACAGGUUAUUUUAUACUAGACAAAGGAAAGUUUUGCACUUUCUAGUCAACAAAUGGAAAUGAACCGUAUACUUACUGUAAAUGUGGUGAAGAAGACCCAUAAAAUAUUGUCUGUGGGAAAACUGAGCUAUGACUAUGGUUCUAGUGCAUGAAAUAUUUUGGUUUAUCCCGUUCUGAUUUUGUAAGAAAAAAUUGCUGGUCUGAGCUGUCAUAAUCAGAUUUGAAAAUUAAUCUCAAAAAUGGCUCUGAAGCCUGACUUCUACAAAACUUCUCAUCCCUGAGAAGCUAGGGUACCAACUCUGAGAAACCACUUUGGGGUUGCUGUAAGUGAAUGAAGAGUUAAAACCAGCUAUGCCUCCUUUCUGCUGCCUUUUAUUUGUUGAUGGACUUUUUUUCCCAUUAUAUUUCACUCCUUUCUUAGCAUAUAUAGAGGUUCAUCACCUGCCCUUGUUAAAUACUGUCCAAUUUUCCAGACAGACAGAGGGUAGGUCUUCCUGACUGUCAGGGCAGCUCCAGUACAGGGAGUAGAUUUGCAUCAUCCCAUUGCCACCUCUGGGCCUGUGUGACUUCUGCAACGGUGCCUUGGGCAGGUUUCUGAAGUAGCCUCCUUAUCUCAUGGGUACCAGAGAAGAAUGUAGGCUAGAGCAGCAUUCAUACUGCUAUGGAAUUGGGGAGAAAAAAAGACUUUGUGAUUAGUUUAUUUUUCUCAAGCAGUUGAGUUUGCCUAGUCCCUGGGCAUGCUUAAAGUUUGGGGUUUUUUUUAAUAGUUUCCAAGGCAGUUUUGAUCUACUUCUUAUUUUGCAAAGUUGCAUUUCAGUAUCUUCUUUUGCCCGUUUGACUACUUUACCACAGGAAAAAAAGAGAAGGAAAAUUCUUACAUAUAUAAAAAUAAGAGGGUGUGAUUUGAACCAUAAACUUUUUUUGAAAUUAUUUUUGUUGUGACUUUGCAGUGUAAACUAGUACUCAAACAGUCACUUAAGACAGUUGUGUAGAUUUUAUUUUUCCUGUACCAUGCACAGUUGGGUCGGACCAGAAUAUCUGAGACAGGAGAUCCGGCUGGUACAAGAAAUUGUUAAGAGAGUUUGUUUAUUUAUUGUGUCAUUUUAUGAUAACUAUAAAAAAGUAUAGUGAAAUAUUGCUUUUUAUUAAAAAAAUAAUGAUUCUGAUCCUUGGUUUUAUGUAGGGUUUUAAAUCAUGAUCUCAAGAAGUGUUUUCUGUGAGUGUUUCUAUGAGAUGUCUCUUGGUAGGAUGCUGACAGAGGCUUAGCCAAAACUAUACAUCUCAGCACUUCCCAAGAAAGGUGAAUCUUUCUUGCACAUUAGAGUGUUUUAGAUCAAUGGGGUUUAAUCUUUCUACAUUGAUGCACGCAAAUGUGCAUUCCACUUUCCCGUGGAAGUGUGGAGAUUAUUUAAGACAUUUCAGGUAAGUAGAUUCCUGUAUAGCAUAAACAGACUUGCUCAUCUUAGCUGCCUUUCACAGGCCUCUUGCAAAUAGUUCCCAGGUCUUCUCUGGACCAUAGAUCAAAAACUGCCUUGGGUUUAGAUUAUUCAGCGGAGAGAUUCUUUACCGGCUAAUGCACUGUGCCUUUCUGGUUCAUCUGCAUUAGCUCAAUGCCACAAUGUUUAAGCUUCAAACUCUGCAAGGGAAUGUCUAAUCAAAAUAAUAAUAAUUGAUUCUCAAAAGAGGUUUCAAGACCUACAUUUUUGACUUCAGCAAAUUGCCCGUAUUACAAACACACAUCUGUAUUACAGAGCAGCACAAGGAGACCCUUCUCCCAGCUCAGCACUUCAGAACAUACUUAAAAUAUGUUCAACUUCAGCUUCUAAGUGCUUUGCUCACUUGGGACCAAAGGAUAUGGUCCUGGCCAUGGCUGAACCAAGGGGAAAUUUGCCAUGUGCUUGAAUUGGAGAAAGGUUGGCCCUGUAGGUCAUAUGUUUCUUGCUAAAUCUAACAGUUGUGCCUGUUAAAUUGAACUUGAAGUAGCAGCUUCAUACUUUUGUUUGUCAAAGUUUAACAAAUUCUGCUAAUUUUGGUUUGUUUUGUUUUGUUUUUUAAUCACCAAAUAGUGAUCAGCUUAAUGGCUGAUUCACCUCAGAAUCUUCUUCCCAAGGAUUCUGACAGUUUACCUGUCACCUUCUUAACUUCAACACACAGGCUUCCACUGCAAGUGACAAAGAUGAAGCAACACUUUGAAAAGUAUCUGUAAUUUAUUAUCCUGAAACCCACAACUUCAGAGUCAGAUGCCUAGAUGUUUUGUCCCGAGCCACUGGUAGUUCUGGAAGUUUUUUUGUGCUUCAUUGAAGGCUACACCCAGCUAAGCUCUGAAAACAUUCAGUCAUUGGUAAAACUGAUGGUUGUGAGUGGUCUGCACCUUGCAAGAUUGUGGCCAGAAUUCACUAUUAAAGAGUUAGGUUAAUUCAUGUAUGAAAAUAAAUUGAAUUGAUCUAUUUUCAAUUUAGUUUUAAGAAAUGCAUUAUUGCAUUAUUGAAAGCUUUUUUUGAGGUUUUUUUAUGUAUUAAUAAACUGUAGCUAAUGCUUUGAAAACAUUCAUGCUGGAGAAAUUAAGAGUCUUCUCCCUUACAGAAUGUUUUACUGGGAGGUUGAUCUCUGAGUCAUGUUUUGGCUUGGAAGUGCAAACAUACUGUCAUGAAGCUGACAAAAAAACUCUCAUUGAUUCAGUGGAAGUAAACUCAGGCCCUCAGUGCAGUGUCUUUAGGCUUGAAGCAGUUCAGGGUGAGUUUCUCAGCUUUGCAGUAGAACAGGCUGCAUCAGCCUUAGCUGACCUUGGCUCCAGUGCUAUUUUCACCUCAUGAAUGCCAUAAUGCUCCUGGAAAGCCAAGAAUAGACAUCAAAGACAGGAAGCCAAUAGUCCUGGUCAUAAAUUUCUCUGGCAAUUCAGUCCACCUUUCCCGCAGCUCAAGACAUUUCCACAUCCUUCACUGCCCUCCUCUGUGCUUCAGAGUGUGGCCAUGUAGCAGUUCUAGUUCUUUCAGUAAAGCAGUUGAGGUUAUUUUUCCUCAUUUUUGCCCAGGGUAGAGUAAGCAGUCUUUAAUCCCCCUUUUUUUUCAUGGUCUUUUGUGUAGAUUUAGAAGUACUUUGACAAGAGACAGCCAUUUCCCAUAACCUGAUCAGAAAUGUUCCUUCACUGCAAGUGUUGGCUUUCAUGUAAUUUCAGACAUGGUUCAUUGUCUCUAUGCUGCUCAGCUGCCAGCACACCUCGUGUUGGCCCGUGGCCACACCAGCCACUGUGUGAGAUCUAGACCCAGAAUUGUCUAUUGGGUUUUUUUAUCCUAAUUGUUGCUGCUAUAAAAUGAUGUCAGAUCUAGCCACCAGCUUCCCCAAAGCAGGGCAUAUGAGAAGAGAAAUACAAGUUUCUAAUGGUACAUUACCUUUUUUCUUGGUUAGCAUUGUGGCCUAGUAACUCACCUCAUAACAGUGAGCAAUAAAGAGACAAAUUUCAGCAAAGUGCAUGUUUUGGAGGAGUCAGUUUUAGGAAUACAGGAGUUACUUUUUGGAAUAUAUUUUUAAGGACAUGCUGGAAAAAGUUUUGCCUUCAGAUAUGUUGUAUGUGUCACUUCUCCUCCCCCCUUUCCUUCUUGCUGUUGAAAGCACAAAAAGAUUUGUUUGUGUAUGAAACCUUUCAAAUGGGAGAAUGGAAGAGUUUGCACUGUGCUAUCCCUGCUUAGAGAUGGAAAUUAAUUCAGAUGGCUUGAGGCCUGAAUUUUUUUCCCUUCUUAGAUACCUUCUAAUAUCUGAGGUCUGAAACUGAUGAAAAAUGAUCGUUGAAAUUAAAACAAAUAGCUGUUUGUGAGAGACCUCAGACUUGGCUGUCUACAGGGGUCAGCAAGCUGCAUGGCAGACAUUGGUAGUGUCUGUUCUCUUCUAGAGAAUAAAAGAAAGCCUAAACACUGGGGUUUGUCCCACUGAAGUCUUAAGUCUGUCUUAAAUGCAGCUCUCCCUUUAUCUCACCCACAGAGGAAGAAAGGAUAAAGGUUAAAGUUGGUAUUUUUAUGGUGUUACUGCUGGUUUCGAUUGAGAAGAUAAUGCUGCCAUGGUUUUGAGGCUUUCUUGGGCUAGUGUUUAAUUGUGUCCAGUGUAUCAUUACAUAGACUGUUUUAUUACACUAUUACUUCUUCCAGAAUUUACCUUCUAGGAGGUCCUAACUGACAUGCACCAGAUUUACAGAAUAUAAACCUAGCUUUCAAAAAGAGAGGCUUAGAGUUCCUUCAAAAUCUUUCACUAACCACUAAGUUAAUAUUCAGCAUCAAAGGCAAAAUAUUCUAAAUAACCUGACACUGUUAAAGUUUGUAUGUUAAGCUAUAUAAUUUCAGAAAUCUUAGGUGGAUUCAUUAGAUGUUGAAUCUUUGAAAGGUUAAAAUCCACUCUGUGUGAACUGUUGCUUGUGUUUCUGUCAUGUGAAUGUUUCUAGAGGACACUUGAGCAAGCAAAGAAAAUGUACCAAAAUGAGUAUUUAAGAAAAUAAUCUCAUUUAGUUGUUUCUUUUGUAAUCCCAAAUGGUAUGCACAAGGAACACACAAUUCUUCCCCCAGCCCCCCAGCUAUGGACAAAGGUUUUGUUAAUUAGUUGUUUACUGACAGCAGACAUAAUGAGCACAGGUGUCUUGGUUCAUAGUUGAGGAUGAUCUGGACUUCUCUUUCUCUGAGAACAGUGUGUGAAGUGUGAUAGAGGAACGAGCCAUCAGUGGUCAUUUUUCUGGGUUCUGUGUGAGAGGUAAAUGUUUCCUCGCAUGUUUAGUAGCGCCCUGAUGUAACAUUGAGAUCACUUCUGCGGUAUGUGAUCCAUGGGAUUAAAAGAUCUGUUGAAAAUACAGAUCUUUGGGUUAGGGUUAGAGGGGACCUUAAAUAUCAUAGUUCCAACCCCUCUGCCGAAGCAUCUGCAGCUGAGAGAAGAGGGAAAAUGCUCAGGGACUGACUGUACUCCUGCGAUGAUACUAUUGACUGUAUGGAGGAUGGGAUUGAGUUCCUUCUGCACAGUACCAUCUUUAUUGUUCAAUAUCUGCUCUCUUAGAGCUGCAGCAGAAAGCUUUUAAAUCUCACAUAGCCCCCCUGCCUUAAAUGCAGACAGGAUUUAAGUGGUGCAUGGGGCCUGCUCAGGGUGUACUGUGUCCUUAGGUCGGGUAUUUACCCAAUAACACUGUCGUCUUUACUGCGCAGGUCUCAGAGUGCUGAGAAAACUUGAGUGAAGUGGCAGGAUGAAGGCAGUGGGUAGAAUUUGCAGUGUUUCUUGUGCAUAACUAUCAAAAACUAAGAGGACUCAGGAUAGGCACUGUGGACAUUAACUUUGUCCCCCUUUUUUUCAGUGAUACUGUUAUUAAUGUAAAAAUACUGGACAACAGAGAAACCUAGUACCAGUCUAGUAGAAAACAAAUGGAAAGCUGCACAGUAUAUUGUACUGAUAGAAGACGGCAGGAAGACAGACUUCUGACAUCUUUCCUUCAUUGACAGCAAUGGAAAAACGUCUCAUCAACUUUCCUAAAAUGAGCUUUUCACUCAGGCUUGGGAAUAUGGCUUGAGAGAUCAUUGACUGAAUUUGUGUUCAGUGCAUGACCCCCAGGCUAUUAGUGCAUGCCCAACAUGUCAUUAUGUUCACAGUGACAGGACUUUCUUCCACUGUCGCUAGAUUAAUCAUUUUUUUUAGUAGCUUGUCCUUCAAAAUAAAUGCUUGAGAUAUGUGUGAUGAAUUGUGAACAUGUAUACGUAUAUCAAUAUUUAUGAAACAGUUCAUCCAAGUGUGUUGGGUAUCCUUUUGUCAGAGAGCAUCAGCCAGUCUGACAGGUAAAAAUUUCGUGUAGUGAAAUUACUUAAGGCAAUUGAUCUUCAGUGGUAGCAACUUUUGGAUAUCAUUUUAGAUAUCCUGAAACCUAGCUGGACACAUUUUUGUGGCUUUCUUAGGAAACUAUUUCUUGAGGAACAUUCAUCACAUUUCUGAAAAAUUAUGGUGGCCUUUGAGCCAAAUCUUGGUCUUGAACCUCUGCCAAUGUUUUCUUGAGUUGAAAGAGCACUGCCAAUAAAAAAUAAUUGUACAACUGACAGAACCUCUUUUCUUGCCUCCUAUGAAUAAUUUACAGUCUAUCAUGCCAAGAAGGGUCUGCCUAUGUACAUAUGCUACUCUUGGUAAAUAUUCCUAAAUCGUCUUAGGGUUGGUUUGGUGGUCUUUAGUUCUCUACCUCAGAAAAAAAUAAUCAUAUUCCUCUUUUGAUAAGUAAGUGCUCUGCCCAGCUUUUUGUUCUGGCAGUGCACUGGUUUAUUGUCAGUGUUUAUUACUUCUUGACAUUGCCAUCUAAUUUAGACAGUAAAUCCCUGGUUUCAAAUUUUCAUUGCACAUACAUGUAGUUCAGAAAUAAGCUAAUGGCAAAAGUCAUAACCAUGAAUUUAUAAUCAUCCAGGACAGGCAACAUAGGAAGCCCAUGUCUAUGUAAGCCCUGUUCUUCUCCCACUUGUGUUUCUGCAGUACCAAAACAAUGUCCUCAGCCUGCCCUAUUCCUACUGCUCACUAUGUGAACAACCUCCAACAACUACUACUGGGCUGCCUGUAAGCCAGCAAACUUCCCCUUUUGGGGUCUAGCAGGCUGAUAGCACAGUUAUACCAUAUAAAACAGAAAGGAGAAGCAGUGCUUGAGCUUCUUCCUCCCACAUCUUGCCUGUCGUUACAGUAGUAGUGCUAUGACUGGGGGAAAACCAGCAUCCUGGCUUUGGAUGAGGUAUGGAGCUGCAGUUUUUCUGCCUCCCAAGAGAAAAAUAUGAAUGUGGACCAGUGUUUUGCUCUACUCAUUUACUGUUGUAUAAAAAAUGAAAAUUCUGCAUGUAAAGGUAUUUAAAAAUAAUUUUCCCGUAAUCUAAAUGCCUAGACUACUAGACUACAGCAGGCAUUUCUCACUUCUUAUUUCUCUUGCUGCAGCAGAACAAUUUUUUUAUCAUUAUUUUGUCUUCAAAUGGGAAGAGCGAGAAGGUAGACUAUACUGGAGCACAGUGGCAAUUUUCACAGCAACAUGGAUUUGAGGAUUUAAAUCCCUCUUAAACCCUGACAGAAGAAAGGUAUGAUCUGGUGCUUGUUACAGCCCUGGUAAUAAAUAUUUAUUAAAAUGACUGUAGUAGGAACAGUCCCUCUGAGUGUGACUUAUGUAUCCUUGCCAAGUUAGAUGCCUGA
RNA transcript from Pipra filicauda (Wire-tailed manakin), 10491 nucleotides. It is a transcript of the gene named natriuretic peptide receptor 3, with no coding region annotated. Lineage: Eukaryota; Metazoa; Chordata; Aves; Passeriformes; Pipridae. The transcript is spliced from 9 exons. The record is from RefSeq and is a predicted model, not a curated record.